RNAcentral lists this ribosomal RNA (459 nucleotides) under uncultured bacterium. Its description in RNAcentral is "partial 16S ribosomal RNA". It matches the Rfam family "Bacterial small subunit ribosomal RNA", at positions 338 to 795 of the family's 1533-position model. The record is from RNAcentral.
CCUACGGGUGGCAGCAGUGAGGAAUAUUGGUCAAUGGCCGAGAGGCUGAACCAGCCAAGUCGCGUGAGGGAAGAAUGUCCUUUGUAUUGUAAACUUCUUUUGUCAGGGAGCAAAGUCACCCACGUGUGGGCGUUGGAGUGUACCUGAAGAAAAAGCAUCGGCUAACUCCGUGCCAGCAGCCGCGGUAAUACGGAGGAUGCGAGCGUUAUCCGGAUUUAUUGGGUUUAAAGGGUGCGUAGGCGGGUGAUCAAGUCAGCGGUAAAAUGGUGGAGCUCAACUCCGGCCGGCCGUUGAAACUGUUGUUCUUGAGUGGGAGAGAAGUAUGCGGAAUGCGUGGUGUAGCGGUGAAAUGCAUAGAUAUCACGCAGAACUCCGAUUGCGAAGGCAGCAUACCGGCGCCCGACUGACGCUGAGGCACGAAAGCGUGGGGAUCGAACAGGAUUAGAUACCCCAGUAGUC